Molecule: RNA transcript, 1801 nt
Organism: Cucurbita maxima (winter squash)
Lineage: Eukaryota; Viridiplantae; Streptophyta; Magnoliopsida; Cucurbitales; Cucurbitaceae
Gene name: dof zinc finger protein DOF5.6-like
Exons: 3
Source: RefSeq, a predicted model, not a curated record
AAAUAGAAUUAAAAUACUGAAACCACAGGAACAGCAUUCAUCACAACUCAGAUACAGAAACGUUCGGAAAGAGAAAGAAAAGGAUCAAUCGCCACCACUCCGCAUCCAUCUACCGCCGCCGCCGCCCCUGAUCGCCCCCAGAAUCCAACAUAUCCGUUUACGUAACAAAAUGAAAUCUUGUGCUUUUUCGUUUGAAUUUAUGUGAGGAUCCCUUCUGGAUUGGAUGUGUGUUUUUUUUCAGACCAUCAUUUAUUUUCAGCUCAAUAAUGUCUGCCGUACUUCUGUGUCUCUGAAACUAAAUAUAAUUUCGCAAAAUUUCAGUAUCUUUUUUUAAUUUUUUUUUUCUCGUAAUAAAAUUAAAAACCCCAUCUUGUGUUAGAAAACCCUAGCUGAUUCAUGCAGAGAAGUGGGAAGUUGUUGAAGCCUAAAACGCUCUCCAUUUAGUAUUUCUCUAAGAUCCCAAAAAACCCUUUUCGUUUCAAAUCGAUUGGUUGAGAGAUGCAGCGUGGGCGAGAUGAUCAAGAUCGGAGAUUGAAGGCUCUACAACCGCAAAAUCAAGCUCAGCCACAGCCACAAAAAUGCCCUCGUUGUGAUUCUCUCAACACAAAGUUUUGUUAUUACAAUAACUACAGCUUAUCUCAGCCUCGUUAUCUUUGCAAGACUUGUAGAAGGUACUGGACUCAAGGUGGUACUCUCCGUAACGUCCCCGUCGGCGGCGGCUGCCGGAAGGGUAAACGACCCAAACAAUCUUCUCACUCAUCCGACAACUCCAACUCACAACCGCUGCCAUCACUCCCGCUGCCGCAGAUAGUCCAAUCCAGUUUAACAACAACUCCGCCACCCGUAAUUUUCUCGGGUACUCCCGUCAUCACGCCGUCCUCUUUUUUCAAUCCUGUUGGAGAAUUGGGGUCAUCUUCGAGCUGGGUCAAUUCAUUUGGAUCAUCACAAGGGCAGCGUCCAAUUCAACCACCAGAAGUAAUCUACGAAAUAAUGGACCAAUCAUCAGGGAAAGCCGCCGUGAGUUCAUCUUCUCAAGCAGGGUGGUCGGAAAGUUACAUCAACAAUUAUAUUUCAAACCCAAUGGCCGCUGCCGGAGAGAACCUUGUUUGGACACCCAACAACAACAACAACGAUACCCCCACGACCACCGCAGGCAACCCCACGAACAAUAGUACUACAAUUAACCAGUGGCCUGAUUACAUGAAGGGAUUCGAUCCACCCCCAUGACAUGAUCGAUCACAAAUCAGUGGAAUUCGAUUCUUUCUUUUCAAAAAAAAAAAAAAAAAAAAACAUACCUUUGAUAUUCCAUAUAUAUAAAAAGCUUUGACUCAAAAAAUUCCCGGCGAUGAAGUUGAAGUAAAAAUGCAGGCUUUUGAAUGGGAGGCUAUGGAUAUGAAGUAGUCAUAUGAAAGCAUGCACGAGUGGAGUAGAAGAGGGCCCAAAGUCCCAUCGAAUAUGAGCAGUACAUCACAACACAACACGUUGGGCUACGACUCGGGUACCCUGCCGCUCAUCAUUUGGUCACCUGCCCGCCCUUUAGCCAGAUAAGAUAACCCUUUUUCAUUCUCUAUUGUUGACUCACCCAUUAUUCUCCCUCUGUACUCCCCACACUACCUGCUAUCAUUGCAUGGAAUUGUUCAUCGCCAUGAAUAAUGCCCCCUUUCAACCUUUUAAACCAUUCCUCCACUCCGUUCAUCAUCACAUCACCCACUUCCUUUUUACGUCUUCUUUUCAAAAUCACCCUACUACUACUACUACUCAAUUACAUUAUCAAAUUUGAUUAAUAUAUGAAUGAAUUUGA